UACGUAGGGGGCAAGCGUUGUCCGGAUUUAUUGGGCGUAAAGAGCGUGUAGGCGGCUUUGCAAGUCCGUUGUGAAAACUCGAGGCUCAACCUCGAGACGCCGAUGGAAACCAUGUGGCUAGAGUCCGGAAGAGGAGAGUGGAAUUCCUGGUGUAGCGGUGAAAUGCGCAGAUAUCAGGAAGAACACCCGUGGCUAAGGCGGCUCUCUAGUACGGUACUGACGCUGAGACGCGAAAGCGUGGGGAGCGAACAGG
RNAcentral lists this ribosomal RNA (253 nucleotides) under uncultured bacterium. RNAcentral's name for it is "partial 16S ribosomal RNA". It matches the Rfam family "Bacterial small subunit ribosomal RNA", at positions 524 to 776 of the family's 1533-position model. The record is from RNAcentral.